RNAcentral lists this long non-coding RNA (1787 nucleotides) under Anser brachyrhynchus (Pink-footed goose). RNAcentral's name for it is "lncRNA (ENSABRG00000007483.1)". The record is from RNAcentral. Lineage: Eukaryota; Metazoa; Chordata; Aves; Anseriformes; Anatidae.
AUGUCAAAAUACUGUUCUGCCUGCUUUUUUUUUGCAAGCAAGAAAAGCAUCUUAGGUAAUGAAAACUGGAAGUCUCUUAUUACUGAAAGUAAUAAGAAAAAGCUAAGAAUACGAGAAGCUAUAAUUUUGUUAAACUUUUUAUCCCUCAGAAGGAGGAAACCAGAAGUGGCAUUGAGAAAAAAGCAAGGAAUAAGUAGAUGGCUGUACUGCUCCAGCAUGCUGACUGAACCCAGAGAGCUUUCAGUAGGAGAAACACGAACCAGAAUUGCCAGUCAGAAGUGCAACAGGAAGAGCAAGCUGAGAUGACAAACAGGGAAUGGAUGCAGGCGCACAGCUGGUGUCUUGUUUGAGUCGAUAUUGCUUCCUCAGCUCCUUGCAGCGAAGGACAUACAAGCAUGUGGUGUCUACAGUGCUGUCCAGGUGACAAACUGUCCAUCUGCUCAAUGUACCUACUGAUAAUCUGGACUGAUUAGUCUGAACUGGAGUCCACAGAAGCCUCAUGCUGUGUAACAUCUGAUACAACUCUCCCUUUGUUGUUCCAAGUGUUGCUUGUCCUUCCUGUGGCUGUCAGGGAUGUAGGAGCUGUAGCAGACUCCCUGCUGGACCUGUGGUGCUGAGGCAUUUCGUUGUGAGUUGAGCCAAAGGCACUUGUGUGCAGUGUAACAGGACAAGCUAGCAUUACCUUGUCUGGAUCACCGGCCUUCUCUGAGUGGCUUUUUGUGUGCUGUGGCCUUGAUGAAGUCAGUUCUCAGUGAACGGCAAGGCAUGAAAACGACAUGGGUAAAACUAGGCUUCUGUUAUUAUAAUCAACAGAGAAAACUUUUAGAAGGAUUCAAGUUGGACAGAGCAUAAAACAGAAACCAAAAUAGACUGAAGCAACAUCUUCACCACAACUUCUGUCCCUCUGUCAGUAAUGAGGGAAAGUGGAGUGUCUCAGUGUCCAAGGACCAGUGACUUGGCUCAGGUCUAUCUGCCAAAACUAGUUGAAGGAGGUUAUCUCUCGACUGUGAAACUGGCCUUCCUUGGUGACUCUGGAUCACUUUUGUGACUUUUGCUCCAUGGGACAUUCUUAGAAGGCAUUCAUCAUAGGGAUGUCUAAUGGCAUAUCAGGAUGUCUGUGUUAUUAUCAGAAUGAUGUUUGUUGUUUCUUUAAUGAUCAGCACUGGGUGGUAAUAUAAAUAUUGCCUAUGGGAUUACUAGGACCCCACAGUGUAUCUUGUUAUGUCUUCACAUCCUUCACUUGCAUAGCCAUAGCAAUUACUGUCUUAAGUGUCAAAUCAGUAGCAAGCUGUAGUUUUUCUAACAUGCAUCAUUUCUGUAUGCCAGUAAUGCUGCAAUACUGUGUUAAAGAGAGCUGUGCUGAAAUUUUGCACAGAAUCCUUGUGAAGUUAAAGUAGAACACACUUCAGAGGGAGCAAAAAAAUAUUUAUUCAAGCUUUCUAAUGAAAAUAACAAAAAUUUUGCUUCUACAGUCACCAAAAUCAAAGACAGCAUUACAGGUUAUCCUGUAAUCUUAUCAGAUAUACUGCUCCUGUUCUGUUUUGCUCUUUAGGGGCUUGUCCUCAUCUUAAAUGCUCCUACUUUGUUUUCUACUUCAUCCAGUCAUCAACAGCCUUGAAAAUGAUGGAUAAAAAGUCUUCCAUCUAUCCAGGAGUAUGUGAACUUGUGACCGCUGCCAAUACCCGUAUGCCUUUGUGGUUGUCUUAAGUGCUUCCGGUUUCAUUCCGCUUCUACUACCAUGUAAUGGAUUUAUUGUUUAAAUAAAGCCCACUUGCUCAGAGAUCUCA